RNAcentral lists this unclassified non-coding RNA (339 nucleotides) under soil metagenome. Its description in RNAcentral is "partial contains 5.8S ribosomal RNA, internal transcribed spacer 2, and large subunit ribosomal RNA". The stretch from base 1 to 120 matches the Rfam family "5.8S ribosomal RNA", at positions 35 to 154 of the family's 154-position model. The record is from RNAcentral.
GAUGAAGAACGUAGCGAAAUGCGAUACGUAGUGUGAAUUGCAGAAUUCAGUGAAUCAUCGAGUCUUUGAACGCACAUUGCACCUCUCGGUAUUCCGGGAGGUAUGCCUGUUCGAGCGUCAUUUGUACCCUCAAGCUCUGCUUGGUGUUGGGUGUUUGUUCCGCCUCUGUGUGUGAACUCGCCUCAAAACAAUUGGCAGCCGGCGUACUUGUUUCGGAGCGCAGCACAUUUUGCGAUCCAGAUCAACGUACAGCGGCAUCCAAGAAGCCUUAUUUAACGCUCUUGACCUCGGAUCAGGUAGGGAUACCCGCUGAACUUAAGCAUAUCAAUAAGCGGAGGA